CAGCAGCCGCGGUAAUACGAAGGGGGCUAGCGUUGCUCGGAAUUACUGGGCGUAAAGGGCGCGUAGGCGGACAGUUAAGUUGGGGGUGAAAGCCCGGGGCUCAACCUCGGAAUUGCCUUCAAUACUGGCUGUCUUGAGUACGGGAGAGGUGAGUGGAACUCCGAGUGUAGAGGUGAAAUUCGUAGAUAUUCGGAAGAACACCAGUGGCGAAGGCGACUCACUGGCCCGUUACUGACGCUGAGGCGCGAAAGCGUGGGGAGCAAACAGGAUUAGAUACCCUGGUAGUCCACGCCGUAAACGAUGAGUGCUAGUUGUCGGCAUGCAUGCAUGUCGGUGACGCAGCUAACGCAUUAAGCACUCCGCCUGGGGAGUACGGUCGCAAGAUUAAAACUCAAAUAAAUUGACGG
RNAcentral lists this ribosomal RNA (407 nucleotides) under uncultured rumen bacterium. RNAcentral's name for it is "bacterial SSU rRNA". It matches the Rfam family "Bacterial small subunit ribosomal RNA", at positions 509 to 916 of the family's 1533-position model. The record is from RNAcentral.